Naja naja (Indian cobra) is the source of this 1768-nucleotide long non-coding RNA. The record is from Ensembl. NCBI's taxonomy places the organism in Eukaryota, Metazoa, Chordata, Lepidosauria, Squamata, Elapidae.
UUAAUAAGCAAUUUCCAAAGUUGAUUAGAACAGAAAGUAUGUGGACCCAGUGUUCUUUGAGACGUCUGUCUGGGCUAAGAUGUCUGGAGAGGAAUUGCAAAGAGCCAGUCCACAUUAUUCUGCCACAGUCAUCACCAUUUCUUCCUGUAAGCCCAAGAAUGAGGUUUAUUUCCAGUAAUGAGAAAAGAGGAAUAGGGAAGGAGGUUCGUUGCAGUUUAAGCAAUUAAAAUCAUGCUGGUGUGGCAAUUAUAUUCUCAAGACAAAUUUCCAUCAUGAAGUUUGAUUCACUCUACAAUAUGGUAUAUAGUUUUCUGACAACAGAUUUAACAGCAGCUCCCUGUUUGUGGCUGCAAUGCUUUAGGUGCUCAGAGCUCAACUCUGGCUUCCUGAUGGGCACACAGACUUCUCUUGUUGGAAAACCAUAAUGAGACAUUUCUAGUUUAGUUUGUGCCUAGUACAUUUCUAGUCAAUCCUUAUAUCCAGAUCAGAGCAAACACACAUGCCACUCAAUGGAGCUUAAAAAAUAUCCAGCUAGAUGUUUAUUUAUUAAACAUCAACAAACUUCACAACAAAGUUAAAUUGGCAAACUGGAAUAAAAGCCAUACCAAAAUAGAAAAAGAGAAGCAUGAGCAGUCACCAUCCCAAAAGGGAAUGGCUUUGACCCUUUUAUGUAUAUAGCAUAUUCUAUGUAACCUUUUGUGUAAAUACAGUAGCAGAAUAGAGAUGGAAAAUGGAACUCCAGGUGGUCUAUCCUGUAAUAUAUAUCAUGAAGAAAGUAUUUAGGGGAGAAGGAUGGAGACAAUAUUUUUCUUGUUUGAUUAUCUCUACAUUCAUUCCCAUCCCCUACACCCCAAGCAGGUAAUAAUCUUUAUUAGAAACAAGUGAACUAUCACAGCAAUGACAAUGUUUUGAGUAGUCAAGAAUUCUCAAAUUAUAUAGAUUUCAAGCAUGGAAUGCAGGAAAAAAAAGUCAAAACUGAACAAAAUAUUUUGGUCAUGUGGUUUACAUUUCACUUUGUGGCAUUGUGGACUCUGGGCAGAUCCCUAUUGCUUGUAUGACAGUUCUCUUUAAGACAGAGGUGAUCCAGAGACUAUUCCAAGCACUCCUCUUGUCACACACAAUUAAAAAAUUUUGAGACAUCAUUGAAAUCAUUAUCAACCAGUGGAGUUUGUCAAAGGUUUGAAUACUUCCAGCACCAUUUUUGCAGCUUGCAUAUUUAUGGAGAGGCAUAGAGAAAAGAAGUCAUUAAACCUGGCUUUCCUCAACCUAGAAAAAGAUUUUGACUCUGUUUCACAUCAUUUGAUAAGGUAUUCACUAUGUGACCAUGGCAUGGCCAAGCUAAUCAUAACAUGAAUCUGGAUCUUAAUAUCUGCUGAGUAUUAUGUGCUACCUGCCUUUCUGACAGCUUGUCAUGAAAAUUGGCUUUGUGUUAUCACUCUUGCUGUUCAUUCUCUUCAUGUAUAUCAUCAUGCAAGGCUCAUGCAAGAGCCUUGGUGGUGCAGGCUGUUAAAUGCCUAGCACUUAAGUUCCAGCUGCCUGCAAUUACUGCAGGCUCGAAUCCCACCAGGCUCAAGGUUGACUCAGCCUUCCAUCCUCUCGGGGUAGGUAAAGUGAGGACCCAAGAUUGUUGGGGGCAAUAAGCUGACUUUGUAAAAAUGCCGCUUAGCAAUAAGCAGGCAUAUACAAUGGAAUGAAGGCUAUUGCUGAGCGCAUUGGGUUGUAUCCCAAAAAUUGUAAGCUGCCCUGAGUCUUCGGAGAAGGGUGGCAU